GACGAACGCUGGCGGCGUGCCUAACACAUGCAAGUCGAACGAAGUGGCGAACGGGUGAGUAACGCGUAAUCCACCUGCCCUUCAGAGGGGGACAACAGUUGGAACCGACUGCUAAUACCGCAUACUGAAGUAGGGGAUUGCGUCUGAUUAGCUAGUUGGGGGGGUAACGGCCCACCAAGGCGAUGAUCAGUAGCCGGGCUGGGGGGAGGAACGGCCAAAUUGGGACUGGAACAAGGCCCAGACUCCUACGGGGGGGAGCAGGGGGGAAACUUCCGAAAUGGACGAAAGUCUGACGGAGCAACGCCGGGGGAGGGAUGACGGCCUUCGGGUUGGAAAGCUCUUUUAAGCGGGACGCGGUACCGGAAUAGAAAGCAACGGCUAACUACGUGCCAGCAGCCGCGGUAAUUC
Molecule: ribosomal RNA, 408 nt
Filed under: uncultured bacterium
Lineage: Bacteria
Description: partial 16S ribosomal RNA
Rfam family: Bacterial small subunit ribosomal RNA
Source: RNAcentral